GUGUCAGCAGCCGCGGUAAUACAGAGGUCCCAAGCGUUGUUCGGAUUCACUAAGCGUAAAGAGUGCGUAGGUAAUUGCGCAAGUCUGAUGUGAAAUCUCCAAGCUCAACCCGGAAAUGGCAUUGGAAACUGCGUGGCUAGAGGGUUGGAGGAAGGACUGGAAUACUUGGUGUAGCAGUGAAAUGCGUAGAUAUCAAGUGGAACACCAGUGGCGAAGGCGAGUCCCUGGACAACACCUGACACUGAGGCACGAAAGCUAGGGGAGCAAACAGGAUUAGAAACCCUGGUAGUCC
This 292-nucleotide ribosomal RNA is filed under the name uncultured bacterium. RNAcentral describes it as "partial 16S ribosomal RNA". It matches the Rfam family "Bacterial small subunit ribosomal RNA", at positions 505 to 796 of the family's 1533-position model. The record is from RNAcentral.